ACUGAUAUUCCUAUUGAUGCUUCAUCUUGUUGCAAGGAACUUAUCAGAAGCAAUUUCACUGCUUCCAAGGAUCAACAAAGGUAGAUUUCCUGCUCUCAGGUCUGCAGGCUGAAAGACCUUGGAAAGCUGCUGAAUGGAUCAGUCUUUAAAUGGGUUGCACUGUGUGAGCAGUGAAUGCAAAGAAUGCACAACUUUUGGUGAAAUCCUGGACACAGUGUACAAGUCCAGCUGGCUGGUGGGACAGAUGUUCAACUCAGAAGCAAUCCAUAUGAGACCAUCACAAUAGUGAGAACCUGCUUCCAGUAGUGGCAAACAGGGAAAGCAGAGCUGGAACACUUCGUAAGAGAUGGAGCUGCUUCAACUUGCCUUCCUUUCUCCCAGAGCUGUGCAGCCUCUGCUGCCAAAAGCACUCUUCCAUUGUAGCACAUGCAGCAGGUGACACGGUGUUGACCUGAAAAAAUACCUCGUUAAUUACCUGUGCAGAUGACUCCAGACUGGAAGAACUAAGGAUUACCAAGAUAAGGUAGGAGAAAGUAACCUUUUUAAUUAAUAUGCAAUCA
Gallus gallus (chicken) is the source of this 560-nucleotide long non-coding RNA. RefSeq lists it as uncharacterized. The record is from RefSeq and is a predicted model, not a curated record. NCBI's taxonomy places the organism in Eukaryota, Metazoa, Chordata, Aves, Galliformes, Phasianidae. The transcript is spliced from 5 exons.